AUACGGAGGAUGCGAGCGUUAUCCGGAUUUAUUGGGUUUAAAGGGUGCGUAGGCUGUGCGUUAAGUCAGGGGUGAAAUGCCGUCGCUCAACGACGGAGCUGCCCUCGAUACUGGCGUGCUGGAGUACGGAUGCCGUUGGAGGAAUGAGUGGUGUAGCGGUGAAAUGCUUAGAUAUCACUCAGAACACCGAUUGCGAAGGCAUCUGACGAAUCCGUCACUGACGCUGAGGCACGAAAGCGUGGGGAUAGAACAGGAUUAGAUACCCUGGUAUUCCACGCCGUAAACGAUGAUGACUAACCGUCGGCGAUAGACAGCCGGUGGCCAAGCGAAAGCGAUAAGUCAUCCACCUGGGGAGUACGUCGGCAACGAUGAAACUCAAAUGAAUUGACGGGG
Molecule: ribosomal RNA, 393 nt
Filed under: uncultured bacterium
Lineage: Bacteria
Description: partial 16S ribosomal RNA
Rfam family: Bacterial small subunit ribosomal RNA
Source: RNAcentral